UCUUAUGUAUGAAUAUUGUGCAAAGGUGAAAGAAAGGAAUGAUAAGUUACCUUAAGUGACCUUAAUGUGGUGCCUUAGUAUGGAUGGUGGUAUGGGACGCCAUCCAUACAUUGCACGAGGUAUAGCAUAAGGGUUUCUUGAGGUGAAGGUCCAAGGUAAAGGUUUUCAUGUUGAAAUUGUUUAAAGGUAAUAUUAUGACUUACUUGAUGUUUAUGCUUGUAUUGUAUGUCUUUUAUGCAACUAUUCAUGGUACUUCAAAAAGUGGCAUAAUGCAUGGUUUCUAACCAAAAUGUCCCUUUUAAAGCAUGUUUUGCAUGGUCAUCAUACUUAGUACAUUUUGUGUAUUAACCCAUAUUCUUCAUAUUUUUACUAUAAGUGUAGGUUCCGGCAAGUGAUCCCUCUUAGCUAGUUUGAAGUGUUGGAUUGCUUUCCUCCAAGACUUGGUAUGUCCUCAUGGAUUCGAGGAUAAGACUUUUAAGUUCUUUUGUUCAUGUAAUAGACUUAAUAGACUUCUUUUGAUUGUAAAGGGCUUUGUCCCUACUUAUGUUUUGUGACUGUGUCUAAGAUGGCCAUGUGAGACUUAGACUUCCGCUGUGUG
Molecule: long non-coding RNA, 598 nt
Filed under: Solanum tuberosum (potato)
Lineage: Eukaryota; Viridiplantae; Streptophyta; Magnoliopsida; Solanales; Solanaceae
Description: long non-coding RNA (STUB_LNC009169)
Source: RNAcentral